AACAGAGUUCAGAGAAAGACUGGUCAGGUGGCCACUUUCUGGCAAAGGAAGGAAAAGCAAAGGCAUGAGAGAUUUGCUUGGGGGAAAAGAAAGUGCUUGCUCGGGAAGUCGGAUGAGAUCUGCAGCUGGGAUGCAGAAAACAAUAGAAUGAUAGAGCAAGAGUCAAGGGAAAUCCUGCCAGAAACUACAUGAGAGCGCUGAUGUGAACUUUGGUAACAGGCUGAGGUCUUCACAUUAAAAGCAGAACCAUCUCCAUCUAGUUGGAAGGACUGAAUGAUUAUUCUUUGCAAUUUAUUGUGCGCUUAAUACAGGUUUCAUCUCCAUCCACCUACUCUCACGUCUGAUACCAAGUCAAAAACUCUACUGAAACAAAGGAACAAGGUAGUGGUGACUUCCCUUCACAAACUCCAGCUGGGCCUCCAUUGGAGGAGGACGGUGCCCCUGACACACCGGGUUUACCACCACUUAAAAAAAAUGUUUUGAGGGUGGCAAUGUGUAAGGAUCCUAGACCCAUCUCUUCCCACCAACACACGGCAUCUAUAGCUACAUAUGGAACAAGUACCUCUGAGAAAAACCUUGAAACUGGCUGACUUACGUCUACACUCAGGUGAAUGAGAGAAGGCCCACAUGGAAGCAGGUAGGAGAAGCAGGGACACAAUUUCACCAUAAACCCCACCUCCAACCUGGCAACCCACAGUUGGGAGGAGUUUCUCUCUGAGGAGUGAGGAUUUGAAUCCCACAUCAGGCAUCCCCCGCUCUUAAGAAGUGCACUUGAGAGAUGAGCCCCCAAAACAUCAAGCUUUUCUUCUUUUAUUUUAGAGAUAAUUGACAUACAAGUUUAAGGUAUAGAGCAUGAUGAUUUCAUAUGCACAUAUACUGAAAUGAUUACCACAGCAAGUUUAAUUAACAUCCAUCCUCUCUUAAAGAUAAAAGUUUUUUUCUCUCUUUCCUCAGUUUGCUGUUUGGGCUUGGUGGGGGGUAUUUUUGGUUUUGGUUUCAAUUCUACAUGUAAGUAAAAUCAUCCAGUAUUUGUCUUUCUCUGACUUAUUUUGCUUAGAAUAAUGCCUUCAAUGUCCAUUCAUGUUGUCCCAAA
Sus scrofa (pig) is the source of this 1093-nucleotide non-coding RNA. The record is from RefSeq and is a predicted model, not a curated record. NCBI's taxonomy places the organism in Eukaryota, Metazoa, Chordata, Mammalia, Artiodactyla, Suidae.